AGUCACUGACGAGUUUGAUCAUGGCUCAGACGAACGCUGGCGGCAUGCCUAACACAUGCAAGUCGAACGAGAUCUUCGGAUCUAGUGGCGCACGGGUGCGUAACGCGUGGGAAUCUGCCCUUUGCUUCGGAAUAACAGUUAGAAAUGACUGCUAAUACCGGAUGAUGUCUUCGGACCAAAGAUUUAUCGGCAAAGGAUGAGCCCGCGUAGGAUUAGGUAGUUGGUGGGGUAAAGGCCUACCAAGCCGGCGAUCCUUAGCUGGUCUGAGAGGAUGAUCAGCCACACUGGGACUGAGACACGGCCCAGACUCCUACGGGAGGCAGCAGUGGGGAAUAUUGGACAAUGGGCGAAAGCCUGAUCCAGCAAUGCCGCGUGAGUGAUGAAGGCCUUCGGGUCGUAAAGCUCUUUUACCAGGGAUGAUAAUGACAGUACCUGGAGAAUAAGCUCCGGCUAACUCCGUG
RNAcentral lists this ribosomal RNA (461 nucleotides) under uncultured bacterium. Its description in RNAcentral is "bacterial SSU rRNA". It matches the Rfam family "Bacterial small subunit ribosomal RNA", at positions 1 to 507 of the family's 1533-position model. The record is from RNAcentral.